This is a long non-coding RNA of Gasterosteus aculeatus aculeatus (three-spined stickleback), 1341 nucleotides long. The record is from Ensembl. NCBI's taxonomy places the organism in Eukaryota, Metazoa, Chordata, Actinopteri, Perciformes, Gasterosteidae.
GUCUGACGUGCGUUGGCCCCCCAGAGAUGAAGACGCGUCCAUCCUGAGCAGGAUUUAUCUAUAAAUGCGACGCGCUGUGUCCGUGUUGCCGCGGAGCGCCAAGAUGCUUCUAAACGCCACCAUCCCUCUGUCGGUGAACUUCGACACCUGGGAGGACUACCUCAUCUUCACCUUCCACAUCCUGUUCGCCACGUGCGCCGUGCCGAUCGCCGCCUCGGUGGUCGUCGCCAUCUCUUGCACGCGCUCCCUGCGCGGCCAGAACCGUUUCAUCUUUAUGCUGAACACGAGCGUGAGCGACACGCUGACCGGCUUCUCGGUCUACUACCUCGGCCUCUUCGACGUCCAAGAGGGCUACCCGUCCAGAAACGGGACCUACUACAUCUUCCCCUCCUUCCUCGGAGUCAACGUGCUGACCUUCCUCUUCGCCCAGUUCGACCGCUACUUCGCCGUGUGCCACCCGUUCUUCUACAACCGCCACGUAACCCGAGCUGUGGUCAUCGGGAUCUGCGCCUUCUGCUGGAUCUACACGUAUUCCAUCCUCACCGUGCAGAACCUUGUGCCCAUCUCGAAGGCGGCGCAGAUCAACGCGUUCGGCGUGAUGACCCUCCAGAUCAUAGUUUUCGUCAAGGUGUUGAUGACGAUCAAGCUGUACAUCAUAGCCCGGAGCCACCUGGGGAGGGAGGUGCCCAGCCCGGAGCGCGACAACAAGAAGGAGUCGCUGCGCGUCAUCGUGUUCGUGGUCAUCUCCUUCCUGGCGCUGUGGUGUCCGUCCUUCAUCAACAUAAUAGUGAGGCAGCUGACGCAGAAAGGUAUGAGGUUCAGGAACGAGGCCACCAAUCUGUUCGCAAGUAUGGCCCGCCUGAACGCGCUCGUGACCCCGUCAGUGUACAUCUGGGGCAGCCCGGCGCUGCGGGGGGCCGUGUGGAGGACUGUGUGGCGGAGGGUGUUCUGCUGCCGCCGGAGGGCGAGAAUCGGCUUUCACUUGGACGGAGUGAGGAAACAUUGAUGAUGAAACAGCAUCAUGAGGAGAAAUUGUUGAAGAGAAUUACUCUCUCAUCUAUACCGGAUAUAGGUCAAACGAGAGAAUAACGAGGAGCAGGACGGCAGCGUUCUUCCACAGCAGGUUGUUCGUACUUCCAGGCCCGCGGUAUUGCGCUGCUUGUAGUUUUUGUGCCUAUCCUGUCUCUUAAACAAUGACAUUCAUUUUCAUUGUUAGUCAUUUACAAAAUCAAGUAUGUUAUGUCUGUAUGGUCAAUAUGAGGAUACUGUUCAAAAUGUUCAUGUAUAUUUAAUACGAGACAAGUCAUUUUUGUAUGCAUUAUCGAAUGGUUAGUCAUUGUG